RNAcentral lists this ribosomal RNA (232 nucleotides) under uncultured bacterium. RNAcentral describes it as "partial 16S ribosomal RNA". It matches the Rfam family "Bacterial small subunit ribosomal RNA", at positions 100 to 334 of the family's 1533-position model. The record is from RNAcentral.
CGGGACGGGUGAGUAAUGUCUGGGAAACUGCCUGAUGAGGGGGAUAACUACUGGAAACGGUAGCUAAUACCGCAUAACGUCGCAAGACCAAAGAGGGGGACCGUUCGGGCCUCUUGCCAUCGGAUGUGCCCAGAUGGGAUUAGCUAGUAGGUGGGGUAACGGCUCACCUAGGCGACGAUCCCUAGCUGGUCUGAGAGGAUGCCAGCCACACUGGAACUGAGACACGGUCCAG